GGUGCAACUGGCUGAACAGGACGUGUUUGCUUAGCUGCCAGUUUCUUAAGACUUACUUGUCUCUUUUGAAACAUUUCUUCCAUGCUUUCUUGCUUCUGGAAAACCUUUUGUAUAUGCUCCUUUAGGUCCUCAUUGAGGAUGUGUGCAUACUCUCUGUAAACUUUAUUCAACUCCUUAAUUUUAUUGCCUGCACCAGUGUCUAGGAAUUUCUCAAUCUCCUGUAAUGCUGAUUCUGCACCAUCCUGAGACUGACACUUAUCUACAGGUUGUGAAGCCAGAAGAUAAAUUCCUU
Molecule: long non-coding RNA, 292 nt
Filed under: Gallus gallus (chicken)
Lineage: Eukaryota; Metazoa; Chordata; Aves; Galliformes; Phasianidae
Source: RNAcentral